Molecule: RNA transcript, 3107 nt
Organism: Rhodamnia argentea
Lineage: Eukaryota; Viridiplantae; Streptophyta; Magnoliopsida; Myrtales; Myrtaceae
Gene name: putative gamma-glutamylcyclotransferase At3g02910
Exons: 2
Source: RefSeq, a predicted model, not a curated record
CUCUCUCUCUCUGCGUGUGCAUGCUUCAAUGGCAACGAUGGCGUGCAACCACCACUCACUGAUCUUCACGUACGGCACGCUGAAACAGGGCUUCCCGAACCACCCGCUCAUGGAGGACCUCAUCCUCUCCAGCGACGCCGUCUUCCUCGGCCCGCACGUCACCCACCUCCCUCACCCCCUCGUCCUCGGCCCCUUCGGCAUCCCCUUCCUCAUCAACCUCCCCAGCGAAGGCCACCGCGUCAGGGGCGAGCUCUUCUCCGUCUCGCCCCGCGGCCUCGCCCGAGUCGACGAGCUGGAGGGCAUCGGACGCGGCCACUACGAGCGGUUGCCGAUAAAGGUGGAGAUCGACGGCGACUUGGUGGAGGCCGAGGCGUAUUUUGCCCACGCUGGCUUCGGGGAGGGGCUGUGGCGGAGGAGAGGGGAGGUGGGUAUUAGCGAGUACACGCACGACUGCGCCGACGAGUACGUGAAGAGGUCAGAGAGGCCGAAAGGUUGGAGCUUUGUGGAGGGCGUGAGAGAGUUCGUGUCUUCUUCUUCUGAUUGAGGUCCGAUUUCGAUGAUUAUGUUUUGUUUAAUUCUUUCGUCAUCUUAUGUGUCUCUCAUUUCGUGAAGCCUUCAUGCUGUUCUUUUCCUUCUUUGUUCUGUUGGAAAUACGUGCAUAGGAAUGGUUUAUGUUUGUUUGUUUGUUUGCUGCUUAACAAAUUGAGCCCUGCAAGGUCGAACUCUGUAACUUGUGGUACUCUGAUCAUGAGGUCUUAAGGCGGAAAAAUGGCUGAGUAACUGAAAAAUGAAGAAUGGUGUUUAGUGCAGAGCAGCUACUUUCUGUGAGUUCAACAGAGCCUGAAAGUGGUCUGGGACAAGCCCAGGUUCUCUGAGCUCAUGGGCACCGAAAUCAUGGUAUCAGUUUUCCUUUAUAGACAUUCCUGGUACAAUGUGACAGCAGAGAUUCAAGAUUAUUGCCUGACUGAAAACAAAAGUAGAAAAGGAAAACAAAAACAGCAUGUUUGGAUCAAUGGUGACUGGUAUGUCAUUUGAUUGGCAGUAUUUCCGUGGAAUGUAGUUCUAUUCUUAAAAUGUUUCUCGUCUAGAUGAAUUACCAUUGCGUUCAUUUUCUGUUCCCUUCCUAGCAAACCAAGAUGGAGUGAUAGGAGAACGAAUUUGGAAGGGAGACAUGGAUAGUUUGCUUGCCUUGUUACUCUCAUCCAUCACUUCUUUUUUUGGUCUGGCAUCCAUCACUUUAUUUGAGUAAUGUAUGCACACUUAAUCUGGAAAGCCUAUUUUGUGCUGCCUCUUUGUCCGAUAUCACCAAGCACCGGACGUUCAUCUUUGUUGCCAUCGCAUCACUCAGUGCCCAUGCUGAUGACUUCUCAAGAAAAGCCGUAAACCUUCAUCAGAAUCUGUUUGAUACACCCUGUUGCCGUUGGCAUUUGAAUCCAUCUAGACCUCUAGGAUUUUGGCUUCCAUAGCAGGAAUUCAACAUGUUGAUUCCCUCCUCGAUGCAAUUAGAGUUGAAUCAUAUCGAUUCUAAUUGUUUCCCUCUAACUGAUCAACGUACUAACUAUUGGUGUCAUCUAAUUCUCAUGCUGCAGCAGAAAAGAAAGUCGUCAUUUUGCGAUGUUUCUAGUUGCAAGUACUUUUGUGCCUAAAGUCUUGACUAAGUGUCUCCAUUCAAGUACUGCCAUUGCUUGACCAUUGGCAGAUAGCCAAUUUACAGGGGGAGACAUGGGUGUCAAUUGAGCAACUUGGGGCAGCCUACAUGUGAAAGGAACAAGAGCCUUCUAACUUAUUUGUCUUGCCCAAAAGAGAAGAUUGUAGCGAUUUAGCUGUUUCAGACUCUCCCCGGUUACAACUGAAGCUAACAGAACAUAAAGACUUGACAGUCCUGCCAAUUCUUCUUCUUCUUCUCUCUCUCUCUCUCUCUCUCAUAGGGAUUGCAUUCUGUUAGCUAAUUGGAAAAUGAUGAUUCAGUAAAGAUUUUGCUCCAAGUCUCUCAGGUUUGUUUUGAUUCGAAUGCAUCAUGCAUCUCUCGACUGAUUGCCCUGCUUCAUGACAUAAUGUCAUAAUGUAAGUGAAUAGUGACUAUAACAACAAUGUGAAUGUGGAUAGAGGUGGAAGUUUGUGAAACUGAGAAGAUAUUAGCUAAAACUACUGUUAGUUGACCAACAUGUUACUUGUACUUAGAUUGGUUUUGUUGUCAUGGGGAAUUGUAUGGUUCUGUGUGCUUUGGUUGUUCUUCGUAGGAAUAUACUAACACAGUUAUUCUAGCACAUUGAAAAGAUUACUAACACAUUUGAGAUAGUUACUACUACAACCACUGCUAUACCGUCCUUUCUGGCAAGGCCCAUUUAUUGGCCGAUUAGCCAUAUUGCAAACACUAAUUUUUCUGCAAAACUCAACUGGUGAUGCAAUCCAAGGCGUUUGUGCUAUGCAUAAAGGUUGAAACCCGCUGCCAUUUGUGCUGGGGCAUCCAGUAUCCGUAGUUUCAUUCUUCGGGACACACUAAGUUGAAGGACAAGGACGCUUUUGGUGGGGGCAUAGCAUUGACCCUGUCCCGAUGUACUAUUACAUGUUUUUUCCAUCGUGGUAUGAGAAGAAGAAGAAAACUUGAGAAGCUCGAAUCCACAGCGAUUGAAUCACCGUGGACCUUUGUGUUGAUUCUGCGAUCCUAGCCCACACCUGACGCGACACUGCAAAGCACCUUAGAUUGUGCUGGCAAGUUCGCUUUCUUAUAUCUAUUGGACUGUGUGGUACGACGAAAGGAGUGUUGGGGCUGAGCGCAACUUCUCUAACGUCGAUCUAUCUCUGACCAGAACCAUGAACCCUUGCGUGUUCCAGGAAAAAAAUUUAGGCAUGCAUCAUGAGAUUGAUCAAGCCAAUAGCUUCAGUGUACAUGCGACAAUUCGACUCUCAAGGUUCUCAUUCAUGGAACUACGAUGCAACACGAAGGGAAACUAGCACAACCCUCUACCAUGGCCCCCUCACUUAAAUAUGAGUUCCUCGGGGUAGGAAUCAACCUCACAAUCAUCCGUGGCUGACCUGAAAACAUUGAAAAGCCCUUGCCUGUCAAACAAAUGAUGCUUAAUGACUGUGAAUUGCGCAAAACUGGA